RNAcentral lists this ribosomal RNA (423 nucleotides) under uncultured bacterium. RNAcentral describes it as "partial 16S ribosomal RNA". It matches the Rfam family "Bacterial small subunit ribosomal RNA", at positions 361 to 776 of the family's 1533-position model. The record is from RNAcentral.
AUAUUGGACAAUGGGCGAAAGCCUGAUCCAGCCAUGCCGCGUGUAAGAAGAAGGUCUUCGGAUUGUAAAGUACUUUAAGUUGGGAGGAAGGGCAGUAAGUUAAUAGCUUGCUGUUUUGACGUUACCGACAGAAUAAGCACAGGCUAACUCCGUGCCUGCAGCCGCGGUCAUACGUAGGGUGCAAGCGUUAAUAGGAAUUACUGGGCGUAAAGCGCGAGUAGGUGGUUCGUUAAGUUGGAUGUGAAAGCCCAGGGCUCAACCUGGGAACUGCAUCCAAAACUGGCGAGCUAGAGUACAGUAGAGGGUGGUGGAAUUUCCUGUGUAGCGGUGAAAUGCGUAGAUAUAGGAAGGAACACCAGUGGCGAAGGCGACCACCUGGACUGAUACUGACACUGAGGUGCGAAAGCGUGGGGAGCAAACAGG